Molecule: microRNA, 25 nt
Filed under: Pristionchus pacificus
Lineage: Eukaryota; Metazoa; Nematoda; Chromadorea; Rhabditida; Neodiplogasteridae
Description: ppc-miR-8237-5p
Source: miRBase by way of RNAcentral
ACCUCGAGUUCUGGCGCUUUCGACC